CUUUAGGGUUUUUGCAUUACAAGUUGAUGUAAAGAGCAGUUGAACUGAACUAUUUGAAAUCGUGCAGAAGUUCCGGGUAAAACAGUUUCCACAAUAGUGAUAACCAAAGAAAUGGCGAUUACGUCCCCACACAUUUGAACUUUCAAAAGGAUAACAUAAACUUGGUUUGAAUCAAGAAUAAUGUGGGCUUGAUGACUACCAUAUAUCUAAAUUUAGCUUGUGUGGGUCACCAGAACCUCGUAGGUUUUACCGAUAAUAUGAUCAAAGAGUUCAGAGAGAACGGUGGUGCAUUAUCCGUACUGGAAAUCGAGUGGGAUAAAUUGUAUGGCGAGCGUUUAAAAAAUAUUCAAGCUGUCAUGUUACUUUUGUUUAGUAUUGUUUGGUAUUUCAUUAUGGAACGACUUACGCCUGAGCAACGUUUACAAAUAUUCAAUUCAUGGUAAACAUAGUCGACCUACUCAGCGUACUAUUCGCAACACCAUCUUGAGACCCAGCAUUCAUUAUUGGAUAAUAUUCGACCGAAUAGAUCACGUCCAGCACUCAGUGAAGAAUAUAUAGCGGCCGUAGCUGAGAGUGUACAUGAAGACCGUGGAGAGUCGAUUCAGCGCCGUUCGUAGCUACUCGGUCUGACGUAUGGAAACGCAUUUUACGUCGAGAGCUUAAAUUGAAAGCGUACAAAACAUAGUGUGUGCAAUAACUGAAGCCGCUCGAUCUUCCCAAGUGACAUCGCUUCGCACUUUGAGCCCUUGAAAAGUUCCAAGGGCAUCCACUUCCCACACAUCGCCGCAAUCAAUGGACUUAUUGAGAAAACACUUCGGUGAGCAGAUGAUUUCACGUUUUGGGUCGGUUCCUUGGCCACCAAGAUCGUAUGAUAACAUACCGUUAGACUUUUUCCUGUGGGGAUAUGUAAAGUUUAAAGUCUAAGCGGACAGUUCCGCAUCGUACCAAGCCUUGAAACAAAACUUCACGUGUGUCAUUCGCCAGUCGAGAGGCUCGAACAAGUCAUCGAACUGGAACUGAGACGUAGCCGCAGCCAACAUUUGAAAGAGAUAAUCUGCAGAAAAUAAAUACAAAAGGAUGU
Bactrocera oleae (olive fruit fly) is the source of this 1081-nucleotide non-coding RNA. The record is from RefSeq and is a predicted model, not a curated record. NCBI's taxonomy places the organism in Eukaryota, Metazoa, Arthropoda, Insecta, Diptera, Tephritidae.